RNAcentral lists this ribosomal RNA (640 nucleotides) under Limosilactobacillus reuteri. RNAcentral's name for it is "bacterial LSU rRNA". It matches the Rfam family "Bacterial large subunit ribosomal RNA", at positions 1 to 635 of the family's 2925-position model. Lineage: Bacteria; Bacillati; Bacillota; Bacilli; Lactobacillales; Lactobacillaceae. The record is from RNAcentral.
UUAGGUUAAGUUAUGAAGGGCGCAUGGUGAAUGCCUUGGUACUAGGAGCCGAUGAAGGACGGGACUAACACCGAUAUGCUUCGGGGAGCGGUAAGUACGCUUUGAUCCGGAGAUUUCCGAAUGGGGCAACCCAAUCAGCUUAGUCGCUGAUUACUUGACUAGUGAAUACAUAGCUAGCAAGAGGUAGACGCAGUGAACUGAAACAUCUUAGUAGCUGCAGGAAGAGAAAGAAACAUCGAUUCCCUGAGUAGCGGCGAGCGAAAAGGGAAGAGCCCAAACCAACAAGCUUGCUUGUUGGGGUUGUAGGACUGAACAUUAGAGUUACCAAAGUGCGACGUAGUCGCAACAGUUGGGAAGCUGUGCCAUAGAGGGUGAAAGCCCCGUAGACGAAACGUCACACUCUCUGUUCAGGAUCCUGAGUACGGCGGGACACGUGAAACCCCGUCGGAACCCGCGAGGACCAUCUCGCAAGGCUAAAUACUCCCUAGUGACCGAUAGUGAACCAGUACCGUGAGGGAAAGGUGAAAAGCACCCCGGAAGGGGAGUGAAAUAGUUCCUGAAACCAUGUGCCUACAAGCUGUCGGAGCCCGUUAAUGGGUGACGGCGUGCCUCUUGCAGAAUGAACCGGCGAGUUACGAUU